AUACGUAGGGGGCGAGCGUUGUCCGGAAUUACUGGGCGUAAAGGGUGCGUAGGCGGCAUGUUAAGUUGGAUGUGAAAUCCCCGGGCUUAACCUGGGGGGUGCAUUCAAAACUGGCAAGCUAGAGUGCAGGAGAGGGAAGCGGAAUUCCUAGUGUAGCGGUGAAAUGCGUAGAUAUUAGGAGGAACACCAGUGGCGAAGGCGGCUUACUGGACUGUAACUGACGCUGAGUCACGAAAGCGUGGGUAGC
RNAcentral lists this ribosomal RNA (247 nucleotides) under uncultured bacterium. RNAcentral's name for it is "partial 16S ribosomal RNA". It matches the Rfam family "Bacterial small subunit ribosomal RNA", at positions 523 to 769 of the family's 1533-position model. The record is from RNAcentral.